This 571-nucleotide ribosomal RNA is filed under the name uncultured bacterium. Its description in RNAcentral is "partial 16S ribosomal RNA". It matches the Rfam family "Bacterial small subunit ribosomal RNA", at positions 355 to 1375 of the family's 1533-position model. The record is from RNAcentral.
UGGGGAAUAUUGCACAAUGGGCGAAAGCCUGAUGCAGCGACGCCGCGUGAGGGAUGACGGCCUUCGGGUUGUAAACCUCUUUCAGCAGGGAAGAAGCGAAAGUGACGGUACCUGCAGAAGAAGCGCCGGCUAACUACGUGCCAGCAGCCGCGGUAAUACGUAGGGCGCAAGCGUUGUCCGGAAUUAUUGGGCGUAAAGAGCUCGUAGGCGGUUAGUCGCGUCUGCUGUGAAAACUCGAGGCUCAACCUCGGGCUUGCAGUGGGUACGGGCUGACUAGAGUGCGGUAGGGGUGACUGGGAAUUCCUGGUGUAGCGGUGGAAUGCGCAGAUAUCAGGAGGAACACCGAUGGCGAAGGCAGGUCACUGGGCCGCAAACUGACGCUGAGGAGCGAAAGCAUGGGGAGCGAACAGGAUUAGAUACCCUGGUAGUCCAUGCCGUAAACGUUGGGCACUAGGUGUGGGGUCCAUUCCACGGAUUCCGUGCCGCAGCAAACGCAUUAAGUGCCCCGCCUGGGGAGUACGGCCGCAAGGCUAAAAACUCAAAUGAAUUGACGGGGUCAUAGCUGUUUCCU